This 186-nucleotide non-coding RNA is filed under the name Thioalkalivibrio versutus. RNAcentral describes it as "6S / SsrS RNA". It matches the Rfam family "6S / SsrS RNA". Rfam says of the family: E. coli 6S RNA was the first non coding RNA to be sequenced, but its function was unknown until recently. It consists of 184 nucleotides that fold into an extended hairpin structure with a large single-stranded internal bulge. Lineage: Bacteria; Pseudomonadati; Pseudomonadota; Gammaproteobacteria; Chromatiales; Ectothiorhodospiraceae. The record is from Rfam by way of RNAcentral.
GCGUCACUGCGGCGUUCGAUUGUGGCCCGGUGGUACCCUUGAGCCUUAAUUUUUCACCACGGGACCGAGUACUUCCGUUUCGCUGUGCAUGUCCGUCUUCGAGCGGAAAGCCUAAAGAUCCGGAGACUUCUCCCACCUGAGCCCUAGGUUCAAGGUCAAGGGCCACGCCGGCGCCUGCGGGGCGCG